AAUAAAUAAAUGAAUAAAUGAAUAAAUAAAAAAUAUUCGAAAAAAAAAGAAAUAAAUAAAUAAAUAAAUAAUUGAAAGAAAAAUAAAUAAGUAAAAAAUUAUAGGACAAAAUAUAAUUUUGUACGAAGAGAAGACAUGAAAUACGGCGUCGUAGAAAUUUCUUCACGAAUCGUAUUAAUGCUCGACGCUUAUUAAAAUCGAAUGAAACGAAGAACGAAAAUGGUGGUGAACAGUGAAAAAUAUUAAACGCACAUAGGAACGCACACGUUUAAAUAUCCUGCCGGUAAAUGAAAAUAGGAAGAUUUUCUUCAUGGACGUUCACCAAUGUUAAAUGUGUACAGAACAAAUAAAUUACUCUAAUUUGCCUUUGUCAUUUACGAACGGAUUGGAAAGUGUUCGGCCAGAGUAAGACGUGAAAGUGUUCACUAAGGUAAACGAGAAAGGAGGACGUCGACGAAUCGUUUUGCGAGAAUAAAACGAAUUUCAAGCUCGUUCUGUAGGUCUUGCGUCUGUGUUUGUGUCUAGAUCUGUAUCUGUAUCUGUGUGUACUAUAUAACACCGAGGGUCGAGAGAAAACUUGAAAUAAAUGAGACGAAGGUUUUGCCAACCA
This is a long non-coding RNA of Vespa crabro (European hornet), 610 nucleotides long. RefSeq lists it as uncharacterized. The transcript has 2 exons. The record is from RefSeq and is a predicted model, not a curated record. NCBI's taxonomy places the organism in Eukaryota, Metazoa, Arthropoda, Insecta, Hymenoptera, Vespidae.